This 348-nucleotide ribosomal RNA is filed under the name Triticum aestivum (bread wheat). Its description in RNAcentral is "partial small subunit ribosomal RNA". Lineage: Eukaryota; Viridiplantae; Streptophyta; Magnoliopsida; Poales; Poaceae. The record is from RNAcentral.
AUGCCGCGAUACCUACCACUUACUUUAUCAUGCCUCCCAUUUUGCCAUGUCAAGCCUCUAACCCACCUUGUCCUAGCAAACCGUUGUUUGGCUAUGUUACCGCUUUGCUCAGCCCCUCUUAUAGUGUUGCUAGUUGCAGGUGAAGCUGGAGUUUGUUCCAUGUUUGAACAUGUUUAUUGUUGGGAUAUCACAAUAUCUCUUAUUUUAAUUAAUGCAUCUAUAUACUUGGUGAAGGGUGGAAGGCUCGGCCUUAUGCCUGGUGUUUUGUUCCACACUUGCCGCCCUAGUUUCCGUCAUACCGGUGUUAUGUUCCUUGGUUAUGAGUUCCUUACGCGAUUGGGGUUAUAA